Molecule: small nuclear RNA, 107 nt
Filed under: Saimiri boliviensis boliviensis (Bolivian squirrel monkey)
Lineage: Eukaryota; Metazoa; Chordata; Mammalia; Primates; Cebidae
Source: RNAcentral
GUGCUCGCUUCGGCAGCACAUACACUAAAAUUGGAACGAUACAGAGAAGAUUAGCAUGGCCCCUGCACAAGGACGACAUGCAAAUUCGUGAAGCGUUCUGUAUUUUU